Molecule: non-coding RNA, 221 nt
Filed under: Clostridium sp. HMP27
Lineage: Bacteria; Bacillati; Bacillota; Clostridia; Eubacteriales; Clostridiaceae
Description: raiA RNA
Rfam family: raiA RNA
Source: Rfam by way of RNAcentral
UUGAGUUAGGUCUGUGAUUGAAAGUCGAUGCCAGUCGCAGGCAAAACGAUCCACGUAAAUUAAAUAAAAUGUUUAAUGAUCAUGGUGCGGCUUAGAAGUAAGUCCUGCCGAAGAGAUACGCUUUGUAUCUUAACGAGAGUGUAAGUAGUGAGAGGGUAAUUCUGGGUAGCAAAAGCUCCAGCAGGCGAGUGUGGGGUCAAAGAUCAGGUCAGCUAACUUAA